AUGUACCACGCGUACACCCCGGUUCCUCCGCGCCGUCCGCAUUCCCUGACCAGUGCUCGCGGUGCUUUGUUAACC
This is a non-coding RNA of Xanthomonas fragariae, 75 nucleotides long. The record is from Rfam. NCBI's taxonomy places the organism in Bacteria, Pseudomonadati, Pseudomonadota, Gammaproteobacteria, Lysobacterales, Lysobacteraceae.